This 266-nucleotide ribosomal RNA is filed under the name uncultured bacterium. RNAcentral describes it as "partial 16S ribosomal RNA". It matches the Rfam family "Bacterial small subunit ribosomal RNA", at positions 523 to 776 of the family's 1533-position model. The record is from RNAcentral.
UGACAGAGGGUGCGAGCGUUGUCCGGAAUCACUGGGCGUAAAGGGUGCGCAGUGGCCGGUGCGCGUGGGGAGUGAAAUCGCCCUGGCUUAACUGGGCGGGGGCGUUUCCAGACGGCGCGGCUUGAGCCACAGAGGGGGGCGUGGAAUUCCGGGUGGAGGCGGUGAAAUGCGUAGAGAUCCGGAGGAACACCCGAGCGGCGUAGGCAGCGCCCUGGCCUGUGAAUAAAGCUGGACACUGAGGCACGAAAGCUGGGGGAGCAAACAGG